This 21825-nucleotide long non-coding RNA is filed under the name Gossypium barbadense (sea-island cotton). Its description in RNAcentral is "long non-coding RNA (GBAR_LNC021516)". The stretch from base 2339 to 2487 matches the Rfam family "MIR8643 microRNA precursor family". Lineage: Eukaryota; Viridiplantae; Streptophyta; Magnoliopsida; Malvales; Malvaceae. The record is from RNAcentral.
CAUAUUUUAAGUAGAAUCGAGUCGUUUUAGUGUCAAUUUACGUUUUUAGGUUUUUAAGUAGUAAAUGAAUAAGAGUGGAACUCACAAGUGUUUACAAGUAAAAAAAAAAAAAACAAGGUAAAAGAUUGAAUUUUUGCACUUUGAAUUUUGAAGGCUUGUUUCUUAUCUUCAUUUGGGAGUCAUUGAACUAUAUUUGUACCAUCUAACAAGUUUGGAGACAUUUGGAGUUGUGAGACACAAAUUGGAGCCAUUGCAACACUAAGUUGACACAUUAAUUAUAUUUUGCAGAUGACUUGUACCAAUACAAGUGUUUUGGUACCAAUAGAAGUCUUAAAAAUUAUAGCCAUUGGAGGUUGUGGUAUCAAUACAAGUGGGCUAAUACCAAUACAAGUUUGAGGGAAGAAUAAAAGGAACUUACCAUUUGACUUGUUGUGAUACAAUUCUUUAAGGGUAUUGAUACAUGUCCAUGGAAAAUUAGAGGUGCUUAUUGUCUGACUUGUUGCGAUACAAGUCUCGACUAGUAUUGAUACAACUCUAGUUGCACCGAUACUCCUAGGGCUUUGUGCAAUACUUCUCCCUUAGGAUCAUGAGAUAGAUUACUAUCUCAAUUGUAUUGAUACAAGUGGGCUAGGGGUAUCAGUACAAGUUUCUAGACUUUACUAAAACAAUUGUAGAGGAAUUUUAGAGGAAUUUUCAAGGACUUUUAGGAUUUUAAACUCAUAAGAAAUACUCUAAAUCAAUUUAAUCAGAUUUAUGAGUUUAAAAAUACUUGAAAAUAAUUUUCUAAGAUUUUGUCAUGAAUUUUGCAAAUUUUUAAUAAGAAUUUUAAGUUAAUUAUGUUACAUCAAAACAUUUGAAAUCAAGGCUAACAAAAAGCUUCCAUGGGAAAACAAAAAAGCAAGAAGGAAAACAUUGUAAGUAGUGUUUGAUUUUAAUCGGGUUUCAUGAUCAGGGACUCUAGGCUGGUUGUGUUUGAAUUCGGGCUCCUAGGGUGAUGAUGGGCGGUUAGGGGGCUUGGCAAUGAUGAAAUGAUGAGCUGGUCAUGGGUGAUUUUAGUGAUGAGGGAAAUGAUGUAGGCUGUGUGGUGACAGAUGUCGAGUUGAGGAUGGUGAUUGAUGAGAGGGUCAUAAAGAGUAAUGAUGGGAAAGGUGAAAAUGGUGGAGGGUCCAAGAGCAAGAGCUGGUGGUAUCCGCGUGGGGCUUGAGGAGUGCUGGUAAUGGAUGCAAAGGAGGUGGUGUGGUUGGAUAAAGGUGAUGGCAAUAAGUUGAGGCAAAAGCCGAGAGAGGUGAAGUAGUGGUGGAAGCUUUCUGUUAAGUGUUAAUUUUGAUAGGAGAUGGUGAAUGAAAUUGUAAUGAUGAUUGGGGAGUCUAUGCGACUGUGAGAAUUGAAGUGAAGGUGCCAAGAGAGAAUUAAGUGGAUGAAAGGAUUGCUCUAUGGUUUAAGGUUUUCUUUUAUUGUAUGGGCUUAAGAAUAUUUAGACCCACAAUAUGUUAGCUUAAAAAAGUAAUAUUUUUUAAAGAAGAUUUCUUUUUUUUUUCAAUAAGAGAAUAACAAAUUAUAUUUUUUUUAAUUUUUAGUUUUUUUUUGCUAUAAAAAUUUAAAUUCAACUAAAAAUGUUAAAAAUAAGGAGAAAAAAUAUGAUUUGUCAUUCUCUUAAUGAAAAUGAAUAGAGAUGACGUGAAAUUACAGUUUCAUAGAAUUCCUUCUCAUAUUUUUGUUGGGAAAAAAAGAGCUUAAAAAUACAUUUGCUGUUAGAAACAAGAAUAAACAAAAUAAAAAGAUUGCACCUCGUGUAUUCUUAUAUCUUGAGCUCUUGUUUAAUUUUUUUCUUUUAAAAAACAAGUUUAAUUUUUGGAGAUUAAGGUUAUUAAAAAAAUUGUUUAGUUAUUGAAAAUUAUUAAUUUAAGAAAAAUGAAUAUAAGUAUUUAAAGAUGUUGAAGGAAUUUUAUUUACAUUCUUGUUAGAAACAAAAAAAAGUCAAUAUCAACAAAAGAAAAAGCCAUAGAACAUAGGGCAAACUAUACUUAUGGUCACUUUUGUUUACUUUAAGUUAUAUUUUAAUCACUUAUGUUUGAAAUGUUACGUUUUAGUCAUUUACGCUAUUGUAUUGUUACAUUUUAGUUACUGAACCGUUAGUUGUCAUUAACGGUGUAAUGGUAAGCUGACGUGACACGUAAAAUCAUCAUUUUAAACAAAAAUUUUAGGUUAAAUUAUACAAGCGAUCCCCAUUUUUUUUAUUUUGAGCAAUUUAAUUUUUUUCUUUUUAUUUUCUUUAAACUUUCCUUUUCUUUUUUUUUUCAUUCUCUUCUGUUUUUUCCUCUAUUUUCCUACCUUCUUCAUUUCUUUUAACAUAUCAAGAAAUCGAAUUGGCAGUGAAGAAAGAAGUGGGAGGUCGAAAGCCAUCAUUGCCUAUAAUCAAAACUCAUAAACCCAUACGAUGGUUCUUUCUUCAUUGCCAAUUCGAAUUCAUGAUAUGUUAAAAGAAAUAGAGAAGGUAGGAAAACAGAGGGGGAAGCAAAAGAGAAUGGAAAAUAAAGAAGAAGAAAAAAGAAAGUUAAAAGAACAUAAAAGAAAAAAUUAAAUUGCUCAAAAUGAAAAAAUAUAGGGGACUAAUUGUACAAUUUAACCUAAAAAUUUUGUUUGAAAUGAUAAUUUGACAUACCACGUCAGUUUACCGUUACAUUGUUAACAAAAAUUAACGGCGCAAUGACUAAAAUGUUACAACAUGACAACGUAAGUGACUAAAACAUAACAUUUCAAAUAUAAGUGACUAAAUUGUAACCUGAGUUAAACAAAUGGGUGUAUUUUACCCUAGAACAUAGACAACUGGGCUUGAAGCAAAAACAUUGAAACAUAAAGGACCAGCUAGCAAAUAACAAAAGUUAAAAACUUAAGUAAAGAUAUUAAAUAGACUUCAGAUCGGAUCUGUGCUGGAUGCUCAAAGAUCUGAUAGGGGCAAAGCAAAGCAAAGCGGAGCCGGAAAAAGAAGAAACCAGAGAAGAGGGGAAAGGGAAAUGGAGCUACUGGAAAUUACAGGAAUGGGGUCUUUGGGAUGAACCAUUCGAAAGCUUUUCAUCGUUUUAGUCAUAAAUUGAAGUUCUUCCCGGAGGCCACCCAUUCCAGUGAUUUCCAGAGGCUUAUCCCUUUCCCUUACAUCUUCCUUGCUUUGUUUAUAUAUGGAAAUGGAAGAAAGUAAGGUCGUAUCUUUGUAAAUUGUUUCUUCUUUUUUUAGUCUCUUCUUGAUCUCAUCUGUUUUGUUAUGAUAUAAAAAAAAAAAAAUCUCAGGCUAGCUGCUUCUGCUUGUAUUGUGAGGGAUCUCAGAUUGUAUGGGAAAUUUGAGCAGGAAAACUGCAGAAUCUAGUCAAUCUUGGAUUUUGGACGAGAAUGUUCAAUUAAUGUUGUUCACUCAUUUCACCUAUACAUUUGAAUUAUGUUAAUGUUCAUAAAUUAUGCUUACAGAAGUUGAUGCGAAUAUAGCAAAGGAGAAGGUACAAAAGGGAUUAUAGGCGUAACGAUGCUUAAUGUUUAGAAUUUCUAUCACUAACUAGUAAUUAACACUAUCACAAUUAAAUUAGUAAAGUCAUGACAGUUUCAUCAUUUUUAUUUAGUUAAGUUGUGAAAUAGAUUAUAAAUUAUAUUUCCUAUAAAAUAAUUUAUACAAAAGAUUAAUAGAAAUAUCUUUUGCCAACCUUUUCUCCCAAAUUGAAAUAGAAACAAAAAAAAAAAAAACAGGAGAGUAAUCAAGGACAUUCAUCUUUUUAAUUUUUUUUAUUGAACAAAGAAAAUCUAAAGGGAAAAUUUCUCGCAUGCUUUUGUUUUUUUAACCUAGGUAUCCACUCUCGACUUCAGUGAUUAAUUUUUUUGAAAAAAUAAAUAAUCAAUUUUAAAAUAUGAUGCAAUUUUGUGAAUGAUAAUUGAAUCCCAACCGAUUUUAUUGCUAUCCAAAUAUAAGAUAAUUGUUGAUUGAAGCACUAAGUCAGUCCCUAGAUUAAUCUAUCCACGGAUCCGCCUCAGUAGGCGUGGUGUGGACCGGCUAGAUUUGAAUAACAACUUCUAUUAGCUUAAUGUUAGAUCGAAUCCAGUGAAAAAAAUUUAAAGUUAAUUGAAUUGACGAGUUUUAUUUUAUCAUCUUAAUAAAAUUUGAAUUUUUUUUCAAAUCGAGUCGAGCGAAACAAAAUUUAAGUCGAAUCGAGUGAAAUAGUUCGAGUUAACUUAAAAAUUUAUAUAUAUCAAAUUAAAAUCUUAUUAUAUUAUAAUUAAUUACAUGGUAGAGCACAAAAUUUUGAAACAUACAUAUUUGAAAACUUUUUCAAAGAAAACAAACAUUUUAGUAUGAUAAACUUGAAUCACUAAUUAACUUAUUUUGUUCUCCAAAAUUAUUAUUUUAGAAAAUUUUAAAAUUUUUAGCUUUUCUUAUAUGUUUUUUAGAAUUUUUUUAUUUUUUUAUAUUUUCUGAAAAAUAUAGAUUUUGAAAUUUUUAUAAAUAUUUUAAAUUUAAAAAAUCAUUCUAAUUUUCUUUUUGUAAUUUUUAUUGAGAGAGACCAAUUUGCUUAUUUUCAAAAUUGAUAGGGACCAAAGGACUAUUUCCACCAAUCUGUUAUUUGAGUGAUUCAAAUUGUAAAAUUCAACUCGAACUCGAAACUCGAAUAACUUGACUCAAUUAACUCGAAAUUCAAAUUUUUUUCAACUUUUUCGAAUCGAAUUGAGUUUUGCUGAUCCCUAACUUCUACACUGAUUUCAUCCCAUCUAAAUUCAAAUUAAGUAAUCUUAAAAAUUAUUUUAUUUAAUUUUAAUUAUAGAAAUAUAAAUAUUAAUAACAUAUUUUUAAAUAUAAAAAAUUAUGAAAUGGUGAAUCUGAUGAAUUUAAGCUCACACCGACCUCUUGUCUAUUGAAGACAAGAAAAUGGUUUGGGGUAUGUCCAUUUUUACCUUUACAUGUGGCUCUAGGCCAUCCAUAAUUUCAUAAUCUUAUUUGCCAUCUAUGCCUUAGGGGUUGAACAUUACAAGAUUUGGAACCACAGUUUGCCAAAUUCUUGCUCGUCUCCCACAACGUGCCAUUUUCCUAACUCUCAACUACUAGUCUAUGUACUAUACUUUUGUCUUCUACAUUCUUCUACCAUGUGUUUAUAAACAAGUGCAGCCCAAACAUAGAUCUACUCAACACUUGGCGCACCACAAUGGCUCACCACUGGCAUCCCCCACCUCCACCAGACCCCUUUGCACCCCCACCACCUGGACCUCCGGCAACACCUCCACCAGACCCCUUUGCUCCACCACCGCCAGGGCAUCCGGCACCACCUAUGUUUGGGCAGCCUCUACCGCCUAACACUUCUGCACCAGCACCACCUAUUCCGCACAAUCCGCCAGCACCUCAGUUUGGGCAGCCUCCACCUCCUCCAGGUCCAGGAGGACCUCCUCCACCACCCCCAUAUUAGCCUAUAGCAUAAAAUUUUGAUUAGAUUCUUAUAGGAUUGUAACAAUAAAUAAGAGAGUAUAUAUUGUUAUGUUGAAUGUUGGAAGUGCAUGAGAGUGAAAUAAUAAUCUUUAUGUUACAAUAAAUGAGUCGGUGGUUGUUGCUCACAAAUUUCUCACACCCAAAUUCAAAAUAUAAGAAAUAAUUACUGCCAACUUAUCAUUUUGUAUUUGAUUUAUGUCAUGUGUUGUUUGGAACGUAACCAACCCUGAUGCAAGUCAGUUUUUAUUUGAUUCCCUUCACUUGUGUAACCUAUCAAAUAUCAAGAAAUUAUUAAAAUAUUUCUUUUGCCUAAUAAAUUAUAUUGUUAUGGGAUAUAUUCAUCUUUUACAUAAACCUAAUAAAUUUUACUAUUUCAACAGGAAUUUCAGUUAAUUUUUGUAUGAAUUUUUAAAUAUAUUUUUAACAUAAUUUCUGUAAUGGCCCAAAUUUGCCCGACCCAAAUCAGAAGUAAAUAAACAAUAAAUAUAAAAUCAAAAUUAAAAGUCAAAAAACAUUCCCUUUACACUGGGCUCAAUAUGGCCCAAACUAAACACAACCCACUACCCAAAAUCAAAUUACCCAAUACACCCCAGCCUAACUAGCCAAAACCCAAAACCCACUAAAAUCCAAACCAGCUAACCCUAGCCCAAUAUUGGAGGCCCAACAACUUACCCUAGCUGAGAAAGGAACCCUAGACAGUAAACUCCAGUGCUGCAGCAGAGCCAGGCCUCCUCUCGUGCAUGCGCCGCCACACCUUCGAGCCGCAAUCAACCUCUGGCCUCGCAUGCGCGCCACUGCCACUCGCGCUGCGCCGAGCCGCGCCACGUCCCAGCUAGCCUUCGUACGACACCUGCAAGGGACAAACAAACGCAACAGACGCAAAGGAGGGGCCAGCAACAGCAGAAAAUACAAACGAAAAAUGCAGCAGAGAGGAAAAGAAAAACGGAUCGCAUUUUUGGAUUUUGUUUUUUAUUAUUAUUGUUAUUUCGAAUAGGGGGUUAUAAAACAAAAGAAAAAACCCUUUGAGAGGGGGAACUGUAUCAGAAACAGAGAAUAUCAAUAAAAGAGAAAAAUUGAAAGAGGUGAGGGGAUUUUUCCCUUUUCUGCAUCUUUCGUUUUUUUAAAAUGGUUUUUUUUCUGUUCGUCCAUUUUUUUUAUAUACAUAUGCACAUAAAAAAGAGGAGAAAUAGAGAGAGAGAAGGGACGAACGUACCUGGUGGUCGAUCUUUCGCUCCUUCCGUCGCGAUCGGAAACGGGUGAGGAAUCGGGACCCCCAGACGUUAGUCCGUCGAGCGGCGCGCAGAGGGGGUUUCUAGCUUAGGGUUUGCGGGUUUGCUGAGUGGCUUAGUCCUUGUUUUUAGGGUUUUAUGCGUGAUAUAAAAACGGCGUCGUUUAGUGGCCUUUUGACCCGCGCGGUGACCCGACCCGAGGGAAGGAUCCGCGAGUUUCAUCUCAAUGGUCUAUUUCGCAAUGAGCCCCUCUUCAUUUUGUGUUGUUUCAAAUUUGAUUUUCAUUAAUUUUUUAAUUUGUAUUGCACAUUUGGUCUCGAUUUCAAAUGGAUCCGCGUUCAAACGGUGCUGUUUCCUAUGUUUGAUUUUGAAUAUCAGGAUUUAUGUGUUUAAUUGCUGCAUUAGUCCCUUCAAUUUCAAAAAAAACUUCAAACCGGUUCUCUUUUAUUUUAUUUUAUUUAUUUUCAAAUUUUGCCUCAAACACUAGCUUUAAUCCUUUUUGUAUACUUGUUUUUAAAAAAAAAAGAAAGAAAGAAGAUUAACUAAUUUGAGGUCAAUGUUAUUAUUAUUAUUAUUAUUUAUUAUUAUUAUUAUUAGUUUUAUUUCCCCUUUUUAUUUAUUCGUUAAUAUAUUGAAUAGUUUUGCUCUUUAGGUUUAUUUUUUUAUUCUAUAUAUAUAUAUGCAUUAUGCUUGUACAUACAUUUUUAUACUUUAUUUAUGCAUGCAUACAAACGCAUUUUUAUUUUAUAAUAUAUGCCUAUAUAUAUCUAUAUACCUUUUAUUAUUUUCCUAUAUAUAUAUACAUACACACAUGUAUCUUUUAUAUUUAUAAUUUCUAAAAUAUGUAUAUAUGCAUAUAUACUUUUUUUUGUAUUUUCAUAUAAAGAUAUUUUAUAGAAUAUUAUUUUAUAUAUAUACAAUUUAUAUAUAAUUUAUUCUAUAGGUAAAUUUUUGUAUGUAUUAUUUAUUUUAAAGGUUUCGUAUGGUUACUUUAUUGAUUUAUAUGUUACCUUCUGGCAUGCCAUUUUUUUUAGUCAUUUCAAAACAUAUACGUUGGAUUUGCGUUUGUGUUAAUUUACUUGCUUUUUAGGUUUUACUAGCUUUUAGAUAUGAACGUUAAUAGUUGCAUAAUGUAUAAUAUAAGAUGGUUGCGUUUAUGUGCGUUGUAUUGUUUAUUUGUAUCAUAUAGAUUCUUUGUUGCUCAUUAGCUUAUAUUAGGCUUACGAAAUUUUCUUUCGCGGUAUUCAUUGUCGUCCCAUCUCGUUUUAUUCGUCAAAAAGUUAUAUUCGAUUUAAAUAUUAAAGUCGUUUUACUCAAAAAAUUUUAAAAUAACGCGAAACUCGAAAUUUGGGGAUCCUCGAAAAGAUUGUGUCCUAACUUACUGGAUUCUAAUCUUCCUCGGGAUCUAGGAGACCGAAUAUUCCUUUUAAUAAACAUACAAAUUUCAAAUAAAAACCCAUUCUCGGGAAUUCGACACGUUGUGUCCUAACGCAUUGGAUAUGACAUGUUAUUUUCUCGAGACGAGGAUUUUAAAAAUAAAUGCAAUGUUCGAUAUUUAGGAAUUUUGUGAAAUUGAACCCUAACUUACUGGGUUUUGAUUUUCUCAUUUGACCCAAAUAAUCGAAUAUCCUUCUCAAAAUGCAUAGGUUUUAAAAGACGAGAGAUAAAUUUAAUUUUGAGGAUUUAAAAUUUCGCACUCUAACUUACUGAAUGUGACAAUUUAUUUCUUCAAAAUAAGUGACCCUUACCAUCCAAUUCAUUUUACUUAAAUUUUCUUUUCAAAUGAUCGUAUUCUAAAAUCUUUUCAAAAUUUCGACAUUAAGACAUUAAACAAUCAAUUCGGUACCAAUUUUGGGCGUCACGAGGGUGCUAACCCUUCCUCGUGCGUAACCAACUCCCGAACCUGUUUUCUCAAAAUUCGCAGACCUAAAAUUGUUUUCAAGGUGAUCCGAUCACACCACAAUAAAAGAUCGGUGGCGACUCCAUUUUCAUUUUCAAAAUCGAUACCCAUUUUUCAAAUUUCAAAAAAGAGGUUUCGACAAUUUCUUUUUCACAUGAGUGAAAAUAAUAUAAUGUUUUUAUGGAUUUCCACGAAAAAGAAAAUCCUUCAGAAAAUUAAAACAAAGUUUGUGUUCACCUACAAAUUUGUUUUUUCUUGAAAUAUCCUUCAGUAAUAAUUUUACGAAAUAAUUAUUUAAUAUUUUCCAAUUUCCUAUUUGGGGCCUAAUAUUGCUUUGCAAAACCCAUUGAAAAGAAAUGAUAUAACAACUUUUUUGUCCUCUUAACUUCAUUAAAAAAGAAAAAAAAUUCAUUUUAACUUUUCAUUUAAUUUUUAUUACUUUUAGCUCAUGAACUUGCAUCUUUUGUCAAAUUACCUCAAAAUGUAUAGAAAAGUUAACAUUUGUUAUUAACUCUAUUGACGUGGGCAUACACAUGAAUUACCAUGUGGAUGACAUGUCAACAUUUAAUUAAUUUUUAAAAUUUUAAAAAUACUAAAAAAUAUAUUUUUUAUAACUUUUAUAUGAUUUUAAUCAUUGCAAUGAUUUUUAAUUUUUAAAAAUAACUUUUUGAAAAUUUUAAAUUUUAAAAAAUUAAUUAAAUGCUAAUGUGUCAUCCACAUAGUAAUCCACUUGUAUGCCAUGUCAGAAAAGUUAAAAAAAUGUCAACUUUUCAUCAAUUUUGGGUUGAUUUGAUAAAAAAAAAUACAAGUUUAAGGGCUUCAAAAGAUUAAAAUUUAAAUGAAUGGCUAAAAUAUAUAUUUUUUAUAAAACAGGAGGGAAAAAUAAGUAUUUAUGCCAAAAAAAAUUCCUUUUAACAAAAAAAAAGGAAAAUUGUUCUUUUUUCUUUCCAACAAGGAAACAAAAACAUAAAAGAUAGUGCACCUACAAUGUGAGUGAAAAUUUUAUAUGAUAAAAUUUCUAAAAAAUGAUAUAAUUAUUAAAUAUAUUUUUUGUUGAAAUAAUAAAGUUUAGUUAUUAAAUUUUAUAAGAUUUUGGGUUCGAAUAUUAUUAUAUGCAAAUAUUUUUUAAAAUUUUUAUAUAAAAAGAAAAAUUAACCCUCAAAAUAAUAAGUAUUGCUUUGUAAAAAUAAGAGACUUUUCAUAAAUUUACCACUGGGUUAGGUCCUGAUUGAAGAGUAAUACCAACUUAGUAAGAAUCUUAAAUAUUAGUACAGGCAAAUUAAUUUUUGAAUCAAUUAAAAAAUAUCACAUGUCAAGUCGAAAUUAUCGUAAGUUUAAAAUGAUGACAUCAUAUACUAAUGUUAUAAUUAUUUUUCUCUAAAUUUAGAUCAAUUAAAAGAUACAUAAUAAAAAUUUAUAUUAUCACUAAUUAAACUAAAAUGAUUAAGUGAUAAUAUUAUAUUAUUAUUUUAGGGUAGAUAAAAUAGAUUAAUCUUUGUAAAUCACUCAAUUGAAAAGUUAACAUUUAACAAGUACUUUCUUUUACUCGAGUAAUUGACGCUAUAAAAAGGGCCACCUCCAAUCCAUUGAACACAUAUUCAUAAGUUCAAAAGUCCUCUUAAGAAGUCUUUGAAGAAAUUGAAAAGCUUGAAGAAAUUUUGACGAGCACCAUAUCAGCUAUAAAGGAAAAUCGUUGUAACACCCCGUUAUUUGACCCAAUUGCCGGGUCCGAGUUACAAAGUGCUACAUUCGUUGCCGGAGCAACUAUAAUUAUAUUCAAUCACAGACCGUUAAACAUUCAAAUAUAGCUAGAACAUGAGUAUCAAACGAUACAUAAUCGUUACCGGGUCUUAUACGAACUUAUGAAAGCUUUUCUAAUCACCUAAUGUCGAAAUAGGGACAAACUGUAAAAAUUUUAAGAUUUUCAGUUGAUGUUGCAAUGCCGAGGGUUUCUCAUCACGAUGCAACUCUCUAUUUGAUGCUCGUCAUGACCUUGAAUCAUGACGUUGCCACAUGGCUUUGUGGUCGCAACGUCAGAGAUUUGUCGUCGUGACGUGACUCACUGUUUUUACAAUAGCCAACUUGGUACGAGUUUAGGAAACCUAAAAUUAUAUUUAAAAACUUUCCAUUCUACUAUACCAUGUUUGGGAAUGUGUCCAUAUUGUAGUAAACAUAUAAUAGUUUUCUAUGUAUUUGAACAAUGAAUAAAUAAAUAAAGUUAAUUUUAUAUUUCAUUGUUAUAUAUUUUGUGUUUCUGUCUUUCAUGUUUUGCAUACAUAGAAAAAUUAUGAAUAGUAAAUAUUAGCUCAUUGAUUGUCUAAGUUCAAAUUGAUGAUAAGUGGAAUUGUAAGAAUAUUUAAAUUAUAAGAAAUACAGCUUACUUCAGUAGAUAAUCUAAACGAGUCCGUAAUGCCGUAAAAGAAUCAAAGUGAGUGUAACAGCCUGUUUUCAAUGAAAUCAAAACAAUAGUUUCGGGACCACAAAUCCGAUGUAGAAAAUUUUAUUUUAAUAUUAAUAUGUGUCUGCAACGUGAUAGUAUUAUGGUAUAAAAAUUUCGUUAAGAAAUUUUACCGUUUGUAUGCUCAAUUUGUGAAAAAAGACUAAAUCGCGUAAAGUGUGAAAGUUGUGUUCUAUUAGCUAAAGGUGUUAAAUAGCUAUAGAACUUUAAAUUGGAUGUCCUUAUAUGGUAAUUAAACCAUUAAUUGAGUUAGUGGAUGUGCAUGGCUUGGCAAUUAUGAAAUUUUUAAAGUUAAGUAAGGGUAAUUUGGUAAAAAGCCAAUUAAUGAUAAAAUAAAAUAGAGCAAAAGUGUUAUCAUCUUUAAUUCAUCUUCUUCCAACCUAUUUUACCAAGGAAAGAAGCCAUUUUUUUUGCUUGAAGCUAGGUUCGGCCAAGAACUUCAUGCAUGUGAGUGAUUUUUUAUUCUGUUUUUGUUAAUUUCUAUGUUUCUAGGAUCGUUGUAGCUUAACCUAGCUAGCCCGAUAAUUAAUUUGCAAAACUAUUGAAUAGUUUUAGAUUUUCCAUUGAUGAAUAUUUUAAGUUUUUAAAUUUUAAUGGAAGAAAAUGAAUCUUUGUUGUUAGUUAAACAACUUUUGUUAAGUAAAUUUUGAUAAAAUUGUCCAUUAGGGGUUAAAUUGAGAAAUGUGAAAAUUAUGUGAAAUUGUGAAAUGUAUGGGCUGCUAUAAACAUAUAUAAAAUUUGGUUAGGCUUGGUUAGGGGAGAAAUUGUAUGAAUUUCAUUUUACGAGCCUAGGGACUAAAUUGUAAAGAAGUUAAAAGUAUAGGGCAAAAUAGUAAUUUUUCCAUAAUAUGAAUUUUGGGUUGAAUUGAAUAGAAUGAUGCCUAAAUGAGUUAGAUUUGAUUAUAUAGAUCAAGAAAAGCAACGUACGGAAUUAGAUUAAGGGAAAUAUAAAGUUUUGGAUUGAACGAUCAUUUUUCUUCGUACGUGUUCAAGGUAAGUUCGUGUAAUUAAAUUCCGUAUUUAUAUGCUUUAAUUGAAAUAUAUGUAUGUGAAUGGUUUAAUUAUUAUGUAUAAUUAUCGAGUGCAUAAUCGAUGACAUACGAGAAAUACCGAGCCCCGUUUGAACUUUAGGAAUUCGUAGGAUACAAAUGACAUGUCAUUAAGGUUAUCAAUUUGGUUGUGGUCCUGCAUGUGUUGCGAACACACUAAAGCUCGUAUGAGCUUAAUGAUUUCAACUCAUGAGAGCUUACCGAUUCACAAUUUGUAUGAGCUUACCGUUAUUUAACUCGGAGGAGCUUACCGUUUAUCGUUCGUAUGAGCAUACAUGUACAAGAAUUGAUGAAUUUACAGUUUAGUACACCUCGUGUGUAUUACCCGUGUAUCUAACGAUAUUCUAAGUGGUUCAACGGGCAUAGUGUUAUUAUGAGAUCAUAUAAGUUCGAUACGAACAAUUACAAGUAUUUACAUGGAAAUGAUAUAUGUAUGUUAUACGGAUACACGAUAUAGAUGGUACAUGUACAUGGAAUUUAAUAAUUGUUGAAUUCAUACAUGUUUCUCAGUUUUAUAUGAAUACAUGGCUAACUUGGUUAAUGGUUAUGUGAUAGGCUUUGGCCAAAUAGAAUUGUGUUAUGCUUUGAGUUACUUACCUAAAUUUGUGGUUAAAUGGUAAGUUUAAUUUUGUAUUAUACAAACUUACUAAGUUUAAUUGCUUACUCUGUUUAUUUUUCCGUGUUUUAUAGUGAUUCAUAAGCUCGUUCGGAUUGGAAGUUGUCGGAGACAACAUCACACUAUCAAACGAUAUUUUGGUACUUUUGACUUUAUAUUUUGGGUUAAAUGACAUGUAUAGGUCAUUUUGGCUAAUGAUAGCCUAUAUGUUUCGUUGUGUUUUAGCCAUUUGUGUUGGCUUAUUUUGUGAACAUAUUUUGUUAUGUAAAUAUGUAAAUAGCUUUAUUGUAUAUGAUGUAUGGUUGCCAUGUGAAUGCCUUGGUUGUGAAUUAGUAUUUUGGAUACCAAAUGAUUGAGAUUGAUAAGUGUCAUAUAUGUUAUGUUUUAGGCACAAUGAUGCAUAUAUAUGUUGGACCAUUUAGGUACAUUUUGGAGGCAUAAUUGACAAAUUUUAAAUUGGUUAUUUGAAGUGUCUACUGGUAUCAUAUGUGUAUGUGAUGUUUUAACAAGUUAUAAGCUUGAUAUUAGUUGGUUUUGAAUGUCUAAUUAUGCCAUGUUUAUAUGCAAAUUUUUGUGUUUAAGUUAGUACAAAUUUAGGUGAGAAAUAUGGCUUGGAAAAUGACCUAUUUUUGCAAACACGGGCAGAGACACGAGCGUGUGUCUCAGCCGUGUGUGACACACGGCCAGGUGACAUGUCCAUGUGUCCCCUGCAACUUCUAUAGAAAACAAGUCAGUAGCUUCACACGGCCUAGCAAACGGCUUGGCACACGAGAGUGUAAGGCCAUUUCGAAGGGUAUACGCCUGGCACACGGGCGUGUGGUCUGGCUGUGUGACCCAAGUCGGUGAGUUACACGGGCUAGGACAUGGGCAAGAACAUAAGCGUGUGGCCCUAUUUCGAAUGUCCACACGGUCUAGCCACACGGGCAUGUGUCCCCUGCACUUUGAAAAUUUUACAUGUUUUUCUAAAAAAUUUCUUGAGUACUCAGUUUAGUUUCGAACUAUUUUUAAUUUCUAUUUGGGGCCUCGACCAUGCGUAUAAAACUCGUGUGCUUUGAUAUAAGUUGAGGCUUAUUCUUUAAAGAUGAUCGAGCACUUAAUCAAUAUGUUGGGUACAUGACUUGUGUAUGUCAUGGAUUUACUGGCAACAAAUUCAUAGCUCGAUUAAAGAGUUAACGGUAUCCUUUCAUUGGCGUUGUGUGGAUUGAUAAAUAUGGAACGUGGCCACGGGUUGCUUGUUCUUAAACGAACAAUUUAUCACAGUUAUUUGUUGACAGUGAUCAUAUUAAUCAUUAUGAAGACACAAUGGUGACAAUGAGAUAAAAUAGAAUUGUAUUGAGUGAACGAAUUUCACUCAAAGAAAUCAAGGAUAUUAUAUGAGGGUAACACACUCAUGAUGAGGUCAUUAGACAAAACAGUUGGAUGGAUUGUUUUUAUAAAGAAUAUACAAUAAGGAGUUUUUAAUCGUGAUACUUCUUGUGGACUGGCUUCAUGAUUAAGUAAAUUAUGAAUUAUCGAACGAUACUUCUAGACAUAAUUGCAAUUACUAGAGCUUAAUUGUACAUGUCCGAUUGGUCCUUCCGCUGCUCAACAAAAACCAGAUCGGACUACAUUUGAAUCAGAAGAAAAUUCUAUGACUUUGAAAAAAAUUUAAUUGAGUUGAUGCCAUGGAGUAUCUCAUCCAUCGUUUCUGACACCACUAAAAAACGGGAUAUUACAUUUACUAUCCCAGCGGACUAUCUCUAUUUUGUGUUUAGUGUCCCAACGGACUAUCUCAUCUGUUUUUACUAUCCCAAUGGACUGUCUUUGUUUUGUGGAUGCUAUGGAGUCUUUCACCCGUGGUCUUGCUCAUUAUACUUGGAUGUCAUAACAUCUUUCAUCUAUGGUCUUACAUCGUAUACCUUAUACCUUGUACCGUGCUGUCAUGACAUCUUCCAUCCAUGGUCUUACGUUACAUACCUCAAACUAGACUGUCAUAGUAUAUUUCAUCUAUGGUCUUGGGCCAUAUAUCGUCGUCAUUGUAUCGCCCCAAAGGAUCAGUCAAUACUGCCAUCGCGGUAAACAUCUCUCUAUGGUUUUUAUUUCCCAAAUUCUCCUCCCAUUACCUCCUUUACACCACCUAACAUUGAUGCUCGAACACCGCAGUGUUCCCUUCGCAAUGCCCAAAAUUUCGCCCAUUGAGGUAUCUAAAAGGUUCACUCCCCAUUUCCCAUCCUAAUUUCACCUAUCCCAUUGAGGUUUUUCCCAUACUUAUGCAAUGAAUGCACAUAUCUCAUAUUUCAUGUUGAUUUCACUUCCCGGGGCUUCGAGAAUUACCUACACAUGUGCACGGAACAAACAACCGUACGUUUAGUGAUAAUGCUUGAUGGUACUUUCAUGAUUCAAGGUAAUAUAACAUAAAGUAACAUUUAUAACAUCCUAUGAUAUUUAUAAUCUCAAUGCCUACUAAUACAUAUUCUAUAUUGUAACAUAAGUAUAUAAUUAAUUACAUAUAAAUGUAUACAAUUAUCAAGGCAAACUAAUUCAACUAUCAUAGAAAAAGAAUGAAAAAAUUCAAUUGCAUUUAUCAAAAGCUAUCUUAAGGCCUUUAGUUAUCAACACCAAUUAACAAUUUAAGACAUUCAAAAAGCAUUCGUUAUGAAAUUCAAUAUCAAGUUCAUUUCACAUAAAAAUCUGUUUAACAAAUCGCCUAAACCUCUUUGUGGAGUCUAUUGACUCAUUCAUAUUCAUUUCAAUAUUAUAUUCUAUUAUUAAUCUAUUUAUUUCAAUUUCAAAUAUAAUGUUACGCCUGAUGGAACCUUAGUAAAACAGACUCAAAUACAUGGGUAAACUACAUCACACCAGAUAGCUCGUAGGAGCUUAAACUACAACACACCAGGGCACCAAAGUGCAAAGUCUGAAAGCAUCAAAUGCUUAUUCAUAUGCUAAUACACCCUCCACCACACCAUAUCAUACUCUAUGAUCCACAAAAAAUGCUAGAUCCCGGUAUAACCUGUCAUGGCAUCUGUACAAACACAUAUCCCAUACAAGCGCGCAUAAAAAUCUAUUGGUAUGUCAAUCGUAUAUUAACCUUUUACUAAGUUUACACGAGCCUCAAUUAUAUAUGUAAGUAUUUUUCAUACAUGUAAUCAUCUUACUCUCAUAUUCAUAAAUUGUAUUCGAUCACAUAUGUAUUUUUGUACCCUAUACACUGUUCUAUCGCAUAACAAUUAUUUUGCAAUUUAGUACAUAUAUCAUUUCUCGGCCGAAUUCACAAUCACAACCCCAUUUCAACAUCAAACACACAUAUUUCAUAUUAUAAGAUAUAUUUCAAUAUAGUUUUCAUAUCACAUAUCAUAAUUUGAGUAUCUCAUAUCAUUUCUCAUUUAUUCAUUUUAGUCUUCUAUCUUGAUGUUCUAUAUCAAAUUCAAUUGAAAAAUCCAUAUUAUCAUAAUAGACACACCUCAAUGAUUCAACAAUCAAUAAACAUGCAUAUAAAAUCAAACAAUUUUAUCCCAAAUGAUAAAAGUACAACCCAAAGUUUCAAAUGUCACUUGUCGAUAAUUUUUGCUUUUCCUUUCCCUUUCGGCUAUUCGAUGUUGUCGUUAGCUACGGAUAAUCAUAAAAAAUAUCAUACAAUCAAUUUCCUGCCAAAUCAAAAUCAAAUACGAAAUCACAAAGACUUUGCAAUUUAUUUAAUUUAGCCCUAAAAAUUAGGACGAGCAUAACUUUCAAUUUAGGGCUUUGGUUAAAAUUUGAUUUCACCUAAACUCAUCAGAGACCUUCUAUUUUCUAUUCCUACCAAAAAUUCAUGACAAUUUUUCAUUUUAUCCAAUUUGGUCCAUAAUGUACAAAACUAACAAUUAAGCUUUACAAUUUAGUCCUUUUUAUAAACUAAGCUUAAUUUCUAACAACUUCACACCAAUUUCAUCUAUUUCUCAACAAGGACAACUUUAAAAAACUUUAAAAUUUUUACAAAUUGAUACAUGAGCUAGCUAAAUCAAGCUCCCAUUACCUUAAAUCUACAAAAAAUUAUAAGAAAAGGGCUUGAUUGCAUACCAAUAUGUAGCCGAAAGCUUGAAGAAACUUAAAGUUUUCUUCUUCUUCUUUCUUUGGUUUUGAUGGUGGAAGAAGUUGAAUUAAUGUUCAUCUUUCCUUCCACCAAGCUAUAUGUUUAAUUAUAAUAAUUUUAAUUACUAAUCGUAUGUAACGAGAAACCAAUACCACAGUUCAUUAAUACUUGGUUAAGAAUGGUUUAUUAAUCAUUUUGGCCUCUUUGGAUAAUUGUAAUUUAAGUUUGUAAGCCUUUUUCUAAUUAAAAAUAGAUUACGAUUGGACUUUUCCAAUUUAGUCACUAGGCCUUAAUUAACCAUAAUUUUGGCUAAAUUGACUAUCCAAAUUUCAAUUCAUCUAUCGGGUUGUUAUAAUCGUCUUUCGAUCUAGUUCAAUAGAGAAGAGGAAGUCAAAGGGCAUUUUUGAUGAAAGUCGCCUUUCGAUCUAAUUCAAUUGAUAGAAAGGAGACUAAACUUGUUUUUUGAAGGCCCUUGAGGUGGGAUCAUCCUUCCAUCUAUGAUCAAGUUUAGAUGACCCUUGGAGAGAUCUAAUUUGAUUCCACUCAUAAAGGAGAUAAAACCUAUUUUCAAAAUCAAGUCUCGUCAACCCUUGAAGCAGACUCAACCAUCUAAGUUCAAGUCUCAAAGACCCUUGGAUUGAAACUCUCUCCAAAUCUAUUUUCAAAAUUAAGUUUCGAUAAAUCUUGAAACAUACAUCAUUAAUUCGAGAUCAAAUCUCAAAAACACUUGAAUCCAAUCAGAUCAAAUUCUCAAGCAAGCACUCUCCAAAUCAAGUCUCAACUAUCCUUGAAGCAACUAGUAUCCUUCUAAUAUCAAGUGUAAAUGAACUUGGGUCAAAGCUCAACCAAAGAGAAAAAUCAAAUGAAUUUUCUUUGUAAUUGGAAAAUCCAAAAAUUAUAUUUCUCAAAGUUUAUAAAUAAAAGUUAACCCCAAGUUUUGUCGGUACAAUUAGUAUAGAUUGCAAACUCAUACUUUCAAAAUAAAUGUUUGUAUUUAAUAUGCUAGGAGUUCCUAAAUUUAAAAUUUAGUGCUUAUACUUUAAUUUUAAAAAAGUAAAUUCUGUACGUUUUUUUUUUUAGUUUAAAAAUCUUGGGCAUGUUAACUUCCAUCCAAUUUUGGCCUUAGUUGUUCGCAUAUUGUAAAAAGUGGCAAAAUAAUCUUUUUUAGUUCUCAACAUUUACAAUUUUUGUCAAUUUAACCUUUUACUUUUUAAAAAUAUAUUAAAAAAAUCUAUUUUUUUUAUCUUUUCAAUAAAAAUUGUAAUGUUUUUUUAAGAUACAAAACUAUUAAAAAAAACUCUUUAAAAUUCAUAAAUUGAGAAUAAAAAAUCAUUUUAAAAAUUAUUAAAAAUAUAAAAAAAUUCAAAAAAAAGUAUUUACUCCUUAAAUGUAUUUGUUUGGAUCGUAUUAAAUAAGAUUUGAACAAGUAUUUCCUAAUUUAAAUUUAAAUACACUAUAUAUAUUUUUUCCCGUUUAAAAUACAGUAUAUAAAAUUUUAAGAAAUAAUUAUAAUAUAUAAAUUUUGUAUAAAAAAAAAAGAUGGUGCAGUUUUGCUGAUGCAUUUUCAAAAGGCAUGGCUAGAAGUAGUGAAUCACAUAAGUUUGUUUCAUUCUAAAUUUCAAACUGCCAUGAUGAUGAUUGUAUCAUAUAUUUUAGAAUUUUUAUGUUGAUUUGUAGAAUAAGGAUAAAAAGACAAAAUUUUAAAAUUUUAAAAAGUAGAGGGGUGUUUUUAUACAUUAAUUGAAAUAUAAAAAAAGUAGAGAAAAUUUAGAGAUCAUAGAUCCGUGUUUGUUUUGAAAACAAAAGCUCUAACCUUGGAAGUAUCUGGAAUACUUGCACACCUGUACUUCACCCCUUCAUUUCUUUGUGGCUAAGUAAAAUCCUUUCCCGUCCGUCAGUCAUCCAACUGUCAGUCUCAAAUCAUUCUAUUACAUCUCUACUCUCUAUUUAUCUAUAUAACACCAAAUCCCAUAUCUCUAACAUCUAAAUCCUGCCAAUUAAUGGAGUUCCGUAGGCACCCGCCCUCCCCACCGCCCCCAAACCCUUUUGCACCACCCCCACCACGACAAGAUCCUUUUGCACCACCACCACCCCCCUUAUAUGGUGCACCCCCACCACCUCCGCCUUACUAUGCUGCACCUCCUCCUCCCGCACCCCCUCAUCACCACCAUCCACCAGGUCCACCGCCACCGCCUCAUGCUUUUUCACCACCUCCUGGACCUCCUCCACCACCUUAUUUUGAUCCAUAUAGGCCACCACCGCCUUGGAAUCGCCCUCCUCCACCAUACUAGCUAGCUAUGAAUAAUUGCCUUGGGAGUUUUAUAUUUCAGCAGUUUACGAGCUUUAUCUCCCCAUGACGCAAUUAGAGGUCAUGUAGAUUUCUUUACCCUUCUUCCUUUUCCCCGCUCUGUCUGUAAUUUUCCUUGUUUUUAAUAGCCUUAUGAAUUUAUUUCUAAUUAUAUAUGUGCUGCCCAGAAAAAAGACGAUGCUAUUAUGUCCCCCCCCCCCAAAAAAAAAAAAACUAGGAGUAGAUUGGAUAACAAAUUAUGCAGUAAAAUAGAUGAUGUUCAACAAUAAGAAAAUCCAAUUGAGCAGGUGGAAGAGCCCAUUUUUUAUGCAUUUCCCGUACAAUCAUUUUAGUGUUGCUUUUGUUUGCAUCUGCUUCAGUCGUAUUGUGAUUUUAUCAGCUGUAGACUCUUACAAGGUACGAAUCUCGAUAAAGUUGAUCAAAUCAACAAGUUCAAAGUUAACAAAAAUAGAUUAUGAUGAUAUAUGAAACCGAAUGGAACUGUGGAAAAUAGAGUAGGCUGUCCAAUUGAAUCCAUGAAGAGAUCUUCAAAGAAUUCAAUUGAAGACUAUAAUCAAUCAUCUCAGAUAAGCUCUUGGCAAAUUGAAGUUACAACAUUAGCUUGAAUAAUUGCUAAGAAUCAAACCAACAUAGUUGAGCGUUUAAGCGUGACAAGAAAGUGGGCACCUUUUUUACAGUAAAUAAACAUAACAUGAAAGAGACGUUUAUGCACUUCGAUUUUUUUAUUUGUACGUGAUAAAUAUUUAUUUUUUUAAAUAAUUAUAAUUUCUUAUUUGUACGAAGUCUUAGUGAUAAAUAGUUAUUUUUUUAAAUAAUUACAAUAAGUGAUUUUAACUGAUUACAUUACAUGACUUUUUCUUUUCAUUUUUGUAUCUUGAAGACUCGAUGCUUUUAUCAUUGAAUUGAUUUUUUUUGAAUUUAACAAGUAAAAUAACAACACAAAAAGUUUUACCGUUAAUAUGUACUCAUACAAUAAUAUUUGUCACAAGAAUAAAUUAUAUGCUUAAUAUUAUCAGCAUAUGUAAGUCUCUCAAUUAAAUAGAUUAUUUUGAGAUUUGAAGAUUUAUCAAAUCUUACUAAAACAAAAAAUAAGAUAUGCUGAAUACAAUAUAGUAAUAACAAGUAAUGCACAUUGUAAUACCUAAUUUACCCGGCCUAAUAAAAAUAAAAAUAAAUUUAUUAAAGUCUAUUUACAUUGGCCCAAUACCUAAAAAAAACUAAAUAAAUAGCAGUUCAAAAAUAACCCAAACUAUUUGCCCAAUUCGGCCCACUAGCCUAAACAUUUAAUGACCUAACUUGGCCCAAAUCCCAACCUAAUGGCAGAAACCCUAGCAGAGAGCAAGCCUUAGCGUUGCAGCAGUCCAACUCCUUCGUGCGUGCCAAGCCUCUGCCCUCACGCUUGCGCCUUUGUCUCCGUAUAUGUCAUGUCCCCAACCUUACUCUAUGUACCUGCAAGAGACGAACAAACGAGCAGUAAAAACAGACAAUAAACGAAAAGAGGAGCAAAAAUUGACAGUAAAAAAAGAAAAAGAAAAUAAGAAAAACAGAAGGAAAAAAAAAUUUGUAUUCUUUUCUUAUUUUUCUUUUUGGGUUAUAAAAACCUCUUGGAUGUACCCUUUUUCGAUGACACACAUGCAUUCAAUAUAUAAAAAAAUUGAGAAUACAAAGAAUCAAAAGCAGAGAGAAAGGUGAUUUUCUGGGUUUUUAUUACUUUUGCUUGUUACUGGAUCCUUUUUCUUUACUUUCUUUUUCCAGUUUAUGUUCAUCAAUCGUUGUUCAAAAGAGAAAUAUUAGAAAGAAAGGGAGGGACGUACCUGAUGGCGCGAUCUUAGCCCUCUUCACCACCAUCGGAGAACGGACUAGGUUCGAGCGUCGUUUGAAGGUUCUCAAUGCACAGAGCGGCGCAGGGCAUUAUUUCAGUUUAGGUUUUGUUUUAAUGUUGUGGGCGAUAGUUUUUUUAGGGUUUUAUUUUAGUUUAAUCGCAAGAUUUAAAACGUCACCAUUCAGAGCCCAUACAUUGGCACUUUGUCGUUCGAUAGCCCGAUCCAAGCGGUGACCCGAUCCAGGGUAGGAUCCGCGCAUACUGGACUAGUGGUCUAUUUGCUUAAUAGGUCCUUGCGUGUUCAUAGAAAUUGCAAUUCUGAUUUCCCUUAAUUUAUUUGUAUUUGGUAUCAUACAUCAUGUUUUCAUUUAGAUCCACGACUGUACGGUGUCGUUCAAGGCUGAGACCCGCGCGGUGACCCGACCCGAGGGUAGGAUUCGCGCACUUGGGUUUAUCGGUCCAUUUGUGCAACAAGUCCCUUUUUCUUUUGUGUUGUUUCAAUCUGAUUGUGUUUAUUUUUUUUAAUUUGUACCACACAUUUGGUUUCGAUUCCAUUUUGAUCCAUACUUAAACGGUACUGUUUUUGUGUGUUUGGUUUUGAUUAUUUAUUUUUGCGUUUAAUUGCCGUUUUGGUCCCUUAAGUUUGAAUCGAUUAAUAAUUUAGUUCGUUUUUUUAUUCUAGUUGAAAUUUAACCUUUAUAUAUUUAUUGUUAGAUAUAUUUAAUUAUUAUUUUGACAUAGUUAUUUUUAACAUUAUUUUAAUAUUUAAAUUUAAUAUUGUUUUUAAGCUUAUUAUUAGUAUAAUCUAAAAUAUAGUAUUACUAUUUAAAUUAUUAAUUAUAUUAUUUAAAGUUAUCAUACAUUAGUUUUUUAUUCAUUAUACGUUCUUUUAAUUUUUUAUAUUAUUAUUUAAUUUAUCAUUUAUCAAUACAUAUUUUUG